UCAUUGGUGGUCUAGUGUUUAAGAUUUGGUGCUUUUAACUCCAUUGUCCUGGUUGGAUUCCCAGUUAAGGAA
Ataeniobius toweri is the source of this 72-nucleotide non-coding RNA. NCBI's taxonomy places the organism in Eukaryota, Metazoa, Chordata, Actinopteri, Cyprinodontiformes, Goodeidae. The record is from the annotation of a GenBank genome assembly.